This 254-nucleotide ribosomal RNA is filed under the name uncultured bacterium. Its description in RNAcentral is "partial 16S ribosomal RNA". It matches the Rfam family "Bacterial small subunit ribosomal RNA", at positions 524 to 776 of the family's 1533-position model. The record is from RNAcentral.
UACAGAGGUCCCAAGCGUUGUUCGGAUUCACUGGGCGUAAAGGGUGCGUAGGUGGUUGGGAAAGUUUGACGUGAAAGCUCGGAGCUUAACUCCGAAAUGGCAUUGAAUACUUCUUAACUUGAGGGUCGGAGGGGAGACUGGAAUUCUCGGUGUAGCAGUGAAAUGCGUAGAUAUCGAGAGGAACACCAGUGGCGAAGGCGAGUCUCUGGACGACUCCUGACACUGAGGCACGAAAAGCUAGGGGAGCAAACAGG